GACGAACGCUGGCGGCGUGCUUAACACAUGCAAGUCGAACGGUAAGGCUCCAGCUUGCUGGGGUACACGAGUGGCGAACGGGUGAGUAGCACGUGGGUGACCUGCCCUGCACUUCGGGAUAAGCCUGGGAAACUGGGUCUAAUACCGGAUAGGACCAUGGUGUGGAUACUGUGGUGGAAAGUUUUUUCGGUGUGGGAUGGGCCCGCGGCCUAUCAGCUUGUUGGUGGGGUAAUGGCCUACCAAGGCGGCGACGGGUAGCCGGCCUGAGAGGGUGGACGGCCACAUUGGGACUGAGACACGGCCCAGACUCCUACGGGAGGCAGCAGUGGGGAAUAUUGCACAAUGGGCGGAAGCCUGAUGCAGCGACGCCGCGUGGGGGAUGACGGCCUUCGGGUUGUAAACUCCUUUCACCAUCGACGAAGGGUUUCUGACGGUAGAUGGAGAAGAAGCACCGGCUAACUACGUG
Molecule: ribosomal RNA, 466 nt
Filed under: uncultured bacterium
Lineage: Bacteria
Description: partial 16S ribosomal RNA
Rfam family: Bacterial small subunit ribosomal RNA
Source: RNAcentral